UUAAGAUACUAAGAGCAUACGGUGGAUGCCUUGGCGAUAUCUGCCGACGAAGGACGUGACAAGCUGCGAAAAGCUGCGGAGAGAUGCAAAUAAUCGGCGACCCGCAGACAUCCGAAUGGAGAAAUCCGGCUGUGAUGAUGCACAGCCAUCCAUGCCCAAGAGCAUGAGAAGGGAACCGGGCGAACUGAAACAUCUAAGUAACCCGAGGAAAAGAAAUCAAACGAGAUACCCCAAGUAGCGGCGAGCGAACAGGGAAGAAGCCCAAACCGGUGAAGGAAACUUUACCGGGGUUGAGGACCAUCAGAACCGCGAAGAACCUUAGCCGAAACUGUUGGGAAACAGUGCCAAAGACAGUGAAAGCCUGGUAGGCGAAAAAGAGAAACGCGGAGAUGGCACCAGAGUACCGCGGGACACGAGAAAUCCCGUGGGAAGCAGGGGGGACCACCCUCCAAGGCAAAACACAGAUAUCGACCGAUAGCGCAUAGUACCAUGAGGGAAAGGUGAAAAGCACCCCGGGAGGGGAAUGAAAGAGAACCUGAAACCGUAUGUUUACAAGCAGUCGGAGACCGCUUAAUAAUAAGGUCGACGGCGUGCCUAUUGAAGAAUGAACCGGCGAGUUACGAAGCCUGGCAAGGUUAAGCAGGAAAUGCGGAGCCGAAGCGAAAGCGAGUCUUAAGAGGGCGCAAGUCAGGAAGCGUAGACCCGAAACCACAGUGAUCUACCCAUGUCCAGGUUGAAACACAGGUAAAAAUGUGUGGAGGACCGAACCUAUAUCCGUUGAAAAGGGUUAGGAUGAGGUGUGGGUAGGGGUGAAAUUCCAAUCGAACGUGGAGAUAGCUGGUUCUCCCCGAAAUAGCUUUAGGGCUAGCCUCAGGGAAAAGAUUGCAGGCGGUAGAGCACUGAUCAGGAGAGGGACCUACCCGGUUACCAAACCCAGUCAAACUCCGAAUGGCUGCAAUCAUACCUGGGAGUCAGACUGCGACUAAUAAGGGCCGCAGUCAAAAGGGAAACAGCCCAGACCAUCAGCUAAGGUCCCCAAUGCCGUGCUAAGUGGCGAAGGAUGUGGCAUUUCAUAAACAACCAGGAUGUUGGCUCAGAAGCAGCCACCAUUUAAAGAGUGCGUAAUAGCUCACUGGUCGAGAGACGCUGCGCCGAAAAUGUCCGGGGCUCAAGCACGGAACCGAAGCUAUGGCAUGAUAGCAAUAUCAUGGGUAGGGGAGCGUUCUUAUAAGGAAGAAGCAUGACCGGAAGGACAUGUGGACAAAUAAGAAGUGAGAAUGCCGGUAUGAGUAUCGAAAAGAAAGGUGAGAAUCCUUUCCACCGAAAGCCCGAGGGUUCCUGAGCAACGAUCGUCGACUCAGGGUAAGUCGGGACCUAAGCCGAGGCGGAAAGCGUAGGCGAUGGACAACAGGUUGAAAUUCCUGUACCGGAUCAAGUCGAUUGAGCGAAGGAGCGACGCAGGAGGGCACAUGAUCGCGCGGCUGGAAGAGCGCGUCCAAGUGCGUAUGUUGCAGCAGAGGAAAACCCCUGCAGCUAAAAGCAGAGACAUGAAGGGGAGUUAAAGGAAACUUUGACGAACUCAUGAAUCCCACACUGCCAAGAAAAACUUCUAGCGAGACAAGAUCCGCCCGUACCGUAAACCGACACAGGUAGGCGGGGAGAGAAUCCUAAGGUGCGCGGGAAAACCCUCGUUAAGGAACUCGGCAAAUUGCAUCCGUAACCUAGGGAGAAGGAUGGCCCCCGGUCAGUGAAGAGCAGAAACGCUCAGAGCUAAAAGGGGCGGCAGAAAAGAGGCCCAAGCAACUGUUUACCAAAAACACAGGUGCCUGCGAAAGCGAAAGCUGAAGUAUAGGUGCUGACGCCUGCCCGGUGCCGGAAGGUUAAGGAGAGAAGUUAGCGAAAGCGAAGCAUCGAACUGAAGCCCCGGUGAACGGCGGCCGUAACUAUAACGGUCCUAAGGUAGCGAAAUUCCUUGUCGGGUAA
Molecule: ribosomal RNA, 1983 nt
Filed under: human metagenome
Description: bacterial LSU rRNA
Rfam family: Bacterial large subunit ribosomal RNA
Source: RNAcentral